This 277-nucleotide long non-coding RNA is filed under the name Chinchilla lanigera (long-tailed chinchilla). Its description in RNAcentral is "lncRNA (ENSCLAG00000025471.1)". The record is from RNAcentral. Lineage: Eukaryota; Metazoa; Chordata; Mammalia; Rodentia; Chinchillidae.
CAAAAAUUGCAUUCAGUCUUGGUGUAUAUUUUACCAUUUGAUUGUCCAACAAGCAAAAUCUACUUCAAGUGAUGGAUGAUGAUCUUGUAAAGUGGCAAUAUUAAUAAAACUCUCACCAAGAGGACUAUGAGGAUUAAAAGUACAAGAUAAAUAAAAGGCUAAUUUUAACAGCUUUUUAAGGUAUAAUUAGCAUAAUAUAAGAUACAUGUUACUAAAAUAUACAAGAUUUGACUUACUUAUAAAUCUCUGACACUGACUACAAUAAUAUACAAUGCUU